GGGGUUGGGGCUCAGUGGUAGAGCACUUGCCUAGCACAUGCAAGGCUCUGGGUUCGAUCCUCAGCACCACA
Molecule: transfer RNA, 71 nt
Filed under: Marmota monax (woodchuck)
Lineage: Eukaryota; Metazoa; Chordata; Mammalia; Rodentia; Sciuridae
Description: tRNA.Ala
Source: RNAcentral